AGAUAUGUUUGAUAUUCUUGGUUGUUCUAUGGUCAGACCACAACCAGAUAUCAGACAUAUUAUUA
RNAcentral lists this microRNA precursor (65 nucleotides) under Daphnia pulex (common water flea). Its description in RNAcentral is "Dpu-Mir-190_pre stem-loop". It matches the Rfam family "mir-190 microRNA precursor family", at positions 10 to 69 of the family's 78-position model. The record is from RNAcentral. Lineage: Eukaryota; Metazoa; Arthropoda; Branchiopoda; Diplostraca; Daphniidae.